GAUGAAGAACGUAGCGAAAUGCGAUAAGUAAUGUGAAUUGCAGAAUUCAGUGAAUCAUCGAAUCUUUGAACGCACCUUGCGCCCUUUGGCCAUUCCGAAGGGCAUGCCUGUUUGAGUAUCAUGAACACCUCAACUCUUCAUGGUUUUCCAUGAUGAGCUUGGACUUUGGGGGUCUUGCUGGCCUGUGGGUCGGCUCCUCUCAAAUGAAUCAGCUUGCCGGUUUUUGGUGGGCAUCACAGGUGUGAUAACUAUCUACGCUUGUGGUUUUCCACCAGGGUAACCUUCAGCAGUGGAGGUUCACUGGAGCUUACAAAUGUCUCUCCUCUGUGAGGACAGCCCUUUGGAUGUUUGAUCUCAAAUCAGGUAGGACUACCCGCUGAACUUAAGCAUAUCAAUAAGCGGAGGA
Molecule: unclassified non-coding RNA, 406 nt
Filed under: soil metagenome
Description: partial contains 5.8S ribosomal RNA, internal transcribed spacer 2, and large subunit ribosomal RNA
Rfam family: 5.8S ribosomal RNA (bases 1-121)
Source: RNAcentral